Molecule: ribosomal RNA, 490 nt
Filed under: uncultured bacterium
Lineage: Bacteria
Description: partial 16S ribosomal RNA
Rfam family: Bacterial small subunit ribosomal RNA
Source: RNAcentral
AUUGAACGCUGGCGGCAGGCCUAACACAUGCAAGUCGAACGGUAACAGGAAGAAGCUUGCUUCUUUGCUGACGAGUGGCGGACGGGUGAGUAAUGUCUGGGAAGCUGCCUGAUGGAGGGGGAUAACUACUGGAAACGGUAGCUAAUACCGCAUAACGUCGCAAGACCAAAGAGGGGGACCUUCGGGCCUCUUGCCAUCGGAUGUGCCCAGAUGGGAUUAGCUAGUAGGUGGGGUAACGGCUCACCUAGGCGACGAUCCCUAGCUGGUCUGAGAGGAUGACCAGCCACACUGGAACUGAGACACGGUCCAGACUCCUACGGGAGGCAGCAGUGGGGAAUAUUGCACAAUGGGCGCAAGCCUGAUGCAGCCAUGCCGCGUGUAUGAAGAAGGCCUUCGGGUUGUAAAGUACUUUCAGCGGGGAGGAAGGGAGUAAAGUUAAUACCUGUGCUCAUUGACGUUACCCGCAGAAGAAGCACCGGCUAACUCCGUG